AUAUUACAAAAGGAAAGAAAAAAAAAUCUGUUAAAUAGUUCUUAUGUGUUUAAAUGAACAUAGGGCAGGGAUAGGCAACCUUCAGCACUCCAGAUGUUGUGAACUACAUCCCCCAAUAAUACUCUUACACCCAUAAUGCUGGCAAAGCAUCAUGGAAGGUUUAGUCCAAAACAUCUGGAGUGGUGAAGGUUGCCUAUGCCUGCUAUAGGGUAAGGAACACAAACAUGUAUUCCUGACCCUAUAGUGUUAAAACCACCAUCUAGCCCCCCAAUUUCUCUGAAACUGCUAUGUUUACAGCUGCAGGGUUAACACUAGAGGGACAUGGCACCCAGACCACUUCAUUGAGCUGAAGUGGUCUGGGUGCCUAUAGUGGUCCUUUAAAUGGACACUAUAGUCACCAAAACAACAUUAGCUUAACAAAGCAGUUUUGGUGUAUAUACACUAUAGUCCCAAGAACAAUUGUAGUUUACAUUUAGUUUUGGAGUAUUUAUCAUGCCCGUGCAGUCAGACUGCUCAAUUUUCUGCCAUGCAGGAGAUAAAUCACUUUUGUAACUGAUUAGGCAGCCCUAGCCACACCUCCCUUGGCUGUGACUGACCCAGCCUGCAUGAAAAAAAGUGUUUCAUUUUCAAUCAGAUGUAAGUUUUUAUCUCCAGCUCUGCACACUGAACUUUAAAGGGACACUGUAGGCACUCAGACCACUUCAGCUCAUUGAAGUGGUCUGGGUGCAAUGUCCCAAGUCCCUUAACCCUACAGUGGUAAUUAUUGCAGUUUCUGAGAAACUGAACUAAUCACUUGCUAGACUUAACUCUUCCUCUAGUGGCUGCCACUAGAGGGACUUCCGGGUGCUUAGAUGACUUCUAAUGCUAUGCAUGAGGAAUUCAGCGUCACCGGAAUUCCCAUAGGAAAGCAUUAAAUAAUGAUUUUCUAUGGGGAAAUCCUAAUGUGAGCGCGGCCAUUGCCACGCAUGCGCAUUAGGUCUCCUCCACCAGCUGAUGUCCGUGGGGGAGGAGCAUGGGCGGAGCCUGACCCAGCACCGAGGGACAUCAGUCCUGGAUUCGGGUAAGUGAUUGAAGGGGUUUUAACCCAUUCAGCACCAUGGGAUGGGUGGCGAGAGGGAGGUGGGCACUGUAGGAUUCUUUAGCGCCAGGAAAACGGCUUUGUUUUCCUGGCACUAGAGAAUCCCUUUCAUCACACACAGGAGGCUCCUGCAGGGUCUAAAGGACUAUUAACAGAGCAAGAGAUAAAAAAAUUCUAAAUGAAACAGAAUUUGCAAUAAAGGAAGUAUAAACAUUAGAUGACUCUUUACAGGAAGUGUUUAGGAAAGCUGUGCAAGUCACAUGCAAAGAGAUGUGACAACGGCUGCAUUAACAAAAUGAUUUAACUCCUAAGUGGCAGAAAAUUGAGCAGUGAGACUGCAGUGGCAACAGCUUUACUCCAAAACAUACUUAAACUACAAUUGUUCUGGGGACUAUAGUGUCCCUUUGAAAAAUAAAGAAUCUUACUUAUAAAUGUAUGUUAAAAAUGUAUUAGCCAUAGUGAUGUCCCGAACGGUUCACCGAACGGUUUGCCACGAC
RNAcentral lists this long non-coding RNA (1575 nucleotides) under Pelobates cultripes (western spadefoot toad). The record is from RNAcentral. Lineage: Eukaryota; Metazoa; Chordata; Amphibia; Anura; Pelobatidae.